GACUCAUCCAGGAGCACCCCGAGCGCCUUGCCAAUGAGAGCCCAGGAGCAUCCUGAAAGCCUUGCCCAGAAGCACCCUGAAAGUUUUGCCCAGAAGCGUCCCGAGAGCCUCGUCCAGGAGCAUCCUGAGAGCCUUGCCCAGAAGCACUCUGAAAGUUUUGUCCAGAAGCAUCCCGAGAGCCUCGAUCAGGAGCAUCCUGAGAGCCUUGCCCAUGAGUGCCCACAGAGUCUUGCCCAGAAGCACCCUAAAAGCCUCGCCCAGAAGCACCCUGAAAGCCUCGCCCAGGAGCACCCAGAUAGACAGAGAAAAAGGAGGAUCAAAAGUUCUUCACCUCCUUCCUCUUCCUUCCCCUAUCGAAAGAAUAAAAAGGGUUGUCAAAAAUGCAGCCGACAGAAGUUUUUUUGUUUGAUCGAAUAACUGGGGAACGAAUAAAUGAGGGGAAGGCUGAACUGAAAAUACACUGGUUGCCUUGCUCUUCGUGUGGCAAAUCCUGGGAUGACACAUGGGAGCCUGCCAGAGAAUUCAGACACUACAUGCUUGAUGCCUGAGACAAAUGGAUGCAGAUGCAGCAAAAUUAUUUUUUGUAGUCUCAAUAAAAAUGUUUUACUAAACAUUGUAUACUUAGUAUAUGUAUGUAUGUAUAUAUAUUUACGCUAAGUUCAAAAUAUUUUAACUGACCCCUUGUGUCCAUGGCGACGCGUCAUGAUUGUCACGUGACACGCCGCAGCCACAAUAACUAACAGAUUUAUUUCGUUUUUCCUUUUUAUUAAAAAU
This is a non-coding RNA of Misgurnus anguillicaudatus (oriental weatherfish), 774 nucleotides long. NCBI's taxonomy places the organism in Eukaryota, Metazoa, Chordata, Actinopteri, Cypriniformes, Cobitidae. The record is from RefSeq and is a predicted model, not a curated record.